This 292-nucleotide ribosomal RNA is filed under the name uncultured microorganism. RNAcentral's name for it is "partial 16S ribosomal RNA". It matches the Rfam family "Bacterial small subunit ribosomal RNA", at positions 505 to 796 of the family's 1533-position model. The record is from RNAcentral.
GUGCCAGCAGCCGCGGUAAUACGUAGGUGGCAAGCGUUGUCCGGAAUUAUUGGGCGUAAAGCGCGCGCAGGCGGUUCCUUAAGUCUGAUGUGAAAGCCCCCGGCUCAACCGGGGAGGGUCAUUGGAAACUGGGGAACUUGAGUGCAGAAGAGAAGAGUGGAAUUCCACGUGUAGCGGUGAAAUGCGUAGAGAUGUGGAGGAACACCAGUGGCGAAGGCGACUCUUUGGUCUGUAACUGACGCUGAGGCGCGAAAGCGUGGGGAGCAAACAGGAUUAGAUACCCUGGUAGUCC